AUGAACGCUAGCGGGAAUGCUUUACACAUGCAAGUCGAACGGCAGCGCGAGGUAAGCUUGCUUACUUUGGCGGCGAGUGGCGAACGGGUGAGUAAUGUAUCGGAACGUGCCCAGUAGCGGGGGAUAACUACUCGAAAGAGUGGCUAAUACCGCAUACGCCCUACGGGGGAAAGGGGGGGAUCGCAAGACCUCUCACUAUUGGAGCGGCCGAUAUCGGAUUAGCUAGUUGGUGGGGUAAAGGCCUACCAAGGCGUCGAUCCGUAGCUGGUUUGAGAGGACGACCAGCCACACUGGGACUGAGACACGGCCCAGACUCCUACGGGAGGCAGCAGUGGGGAAUUUUGGACAAUGGGGGCAACCCUGAUCCAGCCAUCCCGCGUGUGCGAUGAAGGCCUUCGGGUUGUAAAGCACUUUUGGCAGGGAAGAAAAGGCUCUGGCUAAUAUCCAGAGCUGCUGACGGUACCUGCAGAAUAAGCACCGGCUAACUACGUGCCAGCAGCCGCGGUAAUACGUAGGGUGCAAGCGUUAAUCGGAAUUACUGGGCGUAAAGCGUGCGCAGGCGGUUUGGCAAGAAGGAUGUGAAAUCCCGGGGCUUAACCUCGGAACUGCAUUCUUAACUGCCAGGCUAGAGUAUGUCA
This 638-nucleotide ribosomal RNA is filed under the name uncultured bacterium. Its description in RNAcentral is "bacterial SSU rRNA". It matches the Rfam family "Bacterial small subunit ribosomal RNA", at positions 29 to 653 of the family's 1533-position model. The record is from RNAcentral.